Molecule: ribosomal RNA, 508 nt
Filed under: uncultured bacterium
Lineage: Bacteria
Description: partial 16S ribosomal RNA
Rfam family: Bacterial small subunit ribosomal RNA
Source: RNAcentral
GACGAACGCUGGCGGCGUGCUUAACACAUGCAAGUCGAACGGGAUAAUUUGAGAGCUUGCUCUUAGAGAAUCUAGUGGCAAACGGGUGAGUAACACGUAGACAACCUGCCGACAGGAUGGGGACAACAUUCCGAAAGGAAUGCUAAUACCGAAUGAAGCGGAGGAGAGGCAUCUCUCCUCCGUGAAAGAUGGCCUCUGAAUAUGCUAUCACCUGUCGAUGGGUCUGCGUCUGAUUAGCUAGUUGGUGAGGUAACGGCUCACCAAGGCGACGAUCAGUAGCCGGUCUGAGAGGAUGAACGGCCACAUUGGGACUGAGACACGGCCCAGACUCCUACGGGAGGCAGCAGUGGGGAAUCUUCCGCAAGGGGCGCAAGCCUGACGGAGCAACGCCGCGUGAGUGAAGAAGGUCGUCGGAUCGUAAAGCUCUGUUGACGGGGACGAACGUGCGAAGGGUGAAUAAUCCUUUGUAAUGACGGUACCUGUCGAGGAAGCCACGGCUAACUACGUG